GGCAUCUCAACUGGUGAGUCUCUCUCUCUCUCUCUCUCUCUCUCUCUCUCAUCCCCAACCAUAAUCUCUUUUUGCUCUCUCGAAUUUCCGUAGUACCAGGCUCAUCGCUGACUACUCCAACCACGCCACCGCCAAUCCAACCCCGGUAACCCUCCGCCACGCCGUUACCCGAACGGAACCCAUGUCUUCUUUCUUACAAUGAGGUUGGGGAUGAAGGAAGUGGCAAAACAAUUUUAAGAGAACGCCUGCUAGGUGUUUGACAGAAUGCCCUUAGGUUCUUGGCGUGGAAAAGACAGCAUCUCAACAAGAGAUAAAGAAAGCAUAUCAUAAGUUGGCAUUGCGAUUACAUCCGGAUAAGAAUCCUGGAGAUGAGGCGAGAAUUGAUUUCCCAUGGCAAAAAACUUCAAAUUUCCAUGUCAUUUUUUACCCGAUUUCUUCUGCCAUUCGGAGGUUGCAAAUGUAUGGCUUAUGUGGGACUACUCUGGUCAAACUGGGGUAAGAAUUUGAAAAUUGCAAGAGAGUUGGAUCUCAAAUCUCUCUCCUAGCCCAUAAGGCUAUGUGAGACUCUCCGUUCCACCAACCAACAGGUAUGUCUCUUACUUUUGCACUGGAAAAAAAACUGAAUGAUUGAAUAUAUAUUUUUUGUCUAAAGGUUAAUUUGUUUGAGAGUAUCUGGAUGUGGAAUUAUCCGUAAGAGGACUAUGAUGUAGCUUUUCAUUUGCUCAAUCUGAAUUGAAUCUUUUUAUUUAAACCGAAAGGAUUAUAACUUAGUUUGAUAUUAAUCGCAUGCUUCUUUGCUAAAUAACUGCCAUUUGCAAAAGGGUGUCUCCUGAUUGGUUCAAUAAGAUGACUAGGUUGUUGUGCAUUCUCCUCGAUGGAGGUACUCCAUUCCCAUUGAUACAUGGAAAUUUAAAGGGGGUAAAGAAUGGUGGUGGUAUUGAACAAAUUAAAGCAUUGGAAUCUAUUGCAAUAUAGCAUUCAGCUCAUUUAUGAGUCUUCUAAGUGUGAAUUCAUU
This is a long non-coding RNA of Rhododendron vialii, 1015 nucleotides long. RefSeq lists it as uncharacterized. Lineage: Eukaryota; Viridiplantae; Streptophyta; Magnoliopsida; Ericales; Ericaceae. The transcript has 5 exons. The record is from RefSeq and is a predicted model, not a curated record.